ACCAGACUCCUACGGGAGGCAGCAGUGAGGAAUAUUGGUCAAUGGUCGGGAGACUGAACCAGCCAAGCCGCGUGAGGGAUGAAGGUACAGAGUAUCGUAAACCUCUUUUGUCAGGGAACAAAGGCGGGGACGUGUCCCCGGAUGAGUGUACCUGAAGAAAAAGCAUCGGCUAACUACGUGCCAGCAGCCGCGGUAAUACGUAGGUGGCAAGCGUUGUCCGGAUUUACUGGGUGUAAAGGGCGUGCAGCCGGAGAGACAAGUCAGAUGUGAAAUCCACGGGCUCAACCCGUGAACUGCAUUUGAAACUGUUUCCCUUGAGUGUCGGAGAGGUAAUCGGAAUUCCUUGUGUAGCGGUGAAAUGCGUAGAUAUAAGGAAGAACACCAGUGGCGAAGGCGGAUUACUGGACGAUAACUGACGGUGAGGCGCGAAAGCGUGGGGAGCAAACAGGAUUAGAUACCCCUGUACGA
Molecule: ribosomal RNA, 468 nt
Filed under: uncultured bacterium
Lineage: Bacteria
Description: bacterial SSU rRNA
Rfam family: Bacterial small subunit ribosomal RNA
Source: RNAcentral